RNAcentral lists this ribosomal RNA (774 nucleotides) under uncultured Neocallimastigales. RNAcentral describes it as "partial large subunit ribosomal RNA". It matches the Rfam family "Eukaryotic large subunit ribosomal RNA", at positions 23 to 644 of the family's 3401-position model. Lineage: Eukaryota; Fungi; Neocallimastigomycota; Neocallimastigomycetes; Neocallimastigales. The record is from RNAcentral.
AGAGAGAGACAUGCGCGCAUAUCAAUAAGCGGAGGAAAAGAAACUAACAAGGAUUCCCUUAGUAACGGCGAGUGAAGCGGGAAGAGCUCAAAUUUGAAAUCUUCAAGGUUCUACCUUGACGAAUUGUAGUUUAUAGAAGUGUUUUCUGUUAGUGGAGUGGCAAAAGUUCUUUGGAAUAGGACAUCAUAGAGGGUGAGAAUCCCGUAUUUGGUCAUUCCUCCUAGCGUUGUGAUACACUUUCAACGAGUCGGAUUGUUUGGGAAUGCAGUCCAAAAUGGGUGGUAAAUUUCAUCUAAAGCUAAAUAUUGGCGAGAGACCGAUAGCGAACAAGUACCGUGAGGGAAAGAUGAAAAGAACUUUGAAAAGAGAGUUAAACAGUACGUGAAAUUGUCAAAAGGGAAGCGUUUGACACCAGUGUUGUUUUUCCGAAAAUCAAUUACGAAUGUUUUGUUUUUGAGGAGUUAUGACUUCAUCGGCUUGCUCCUUUCUUUACGAAACUUUCUUAAUGCACUUUUCGGUUAACAAGUCAACAUCAAUUUCUUUUGUUGUAAAAGGGUAUGAGGAAGGUGGCCUUCUUUUCGGAGAAAGUGUUUAUAGCCUUGUGCCUCUGCAAUCGGAGAGAUUGAGGUCUGCAGCGUAGAUCCUUCGGGGUUAGAUACGUUUGUGCUAAGUUAUAGCUUUUCAUAGACAACUUGUUGACUAUGUUUAGUCUUGUAGCUUACUCGCUGACGCUAUUUUACCUACGCUUAGGAUGUUGAUAGUCACAGCGUGUAC